AAACGCGACGAUUGGGAGCGGCCACGGUGUCACUCAGCGCCUCGGAGCCCUGCAAUUGGCUGCCUUUGCAGAAACCCAGCCCCUUCUCCUCCGCGUUACCGGUGGCAACGCGAGCUGGAGGCGGAGCGCAGAGGGCGCUCCAGCAGCUCCGGUGGGCAAUUGGGGAAAAUUAAGCCCCUACCUGUUUCUGAUCAAGAAAAUUAAUGAUUUGCGUGGCUGUCAAUUGACUAUGGCAAGGUGUGUGCACGCGCCAGCACCCCUGCGUGCGUGAUUUUGAUUUGAUCUUGUGGUUCUGCAGUGGAGAUCAAGCAGGAAUUUAUUUAUACUUGAAAUUCACCAAGAGAGCAGCCAGAAUAAAAUAAUAUCCCACAACCUCCACGUGCAACACUACACGAGUUUAUUUCUAAUAACCGAUCAGAAGCACAGAUCAGUCAUAAAACCAGCAGCCAUCUAUUCUCCCUCUCCUUCCUGUUGCGGUGUUUGGAAGGUGAGGAGCAGUGAUGGCAUCAGGCGCGUCUGAUGAUUCUUAAUUCACACCAGCCCGGACCGGUGUGCGCGUCUGUGUGUGAGGGUGUUUGGAGGCAAGUUUCAUCAAACCGCAGGAGCAGGAACAUGUUUGUAGUAAACAGCUUCCACCAGGGAAACGGUCAAGAGCGAGAGAAAAGAACGGAGCAGUUUUUACGCAUAAGAAAACGCUUCCCUGUGCACUGAAGCUUGUGGAUCCAAUGGUGCUGGAGGUGAUGGGAGACUGUUUGAUGCCACUGACCGACUGAGUGGCCCCGGGGGCAGAAGAGUAGAGUGAAGGACACAUACAGGUGAAUCUGAACCUGACCGAGGGAGCGAUUCUGCGUAAAGGACAAGAGGAGACGCAGAUCAGAGCGCAGACAAAAUGUUUUUUUCUGUAUUGAGAGCAGAAACAACUUGGUGACAAAAAAGUUGCUCAGACCCAAACGGAUGUAAUGAUACCUCUGAUACAAGAGAUUAACUCUAACGUUUCCCAGUAUUUUACCAAAUCCAACAAAGCAGCAUCUGUGUCAUUGUCUGUUACGCGCAGUUCUCUUCACCAGGCACGGACAGAUUCUCCCUCACGAUCCUCCUGCUCUUCUCUCUCCCUCUUUUUUUAUGCAUUUCUAAUAUCACGCGCAGCUCCCGCAGUCUGUGUCCACAUCUGGUGCAAUUGGAUUUUUCCAUUUUCUCUCCUCCAUCCUCGCGAUCCCGCAGCUGUGCACAUUUCCCGCGUCCUACCCUGACUGAUGGCUGACGGACAGGUGAUGGAUUGGCUCAAGGGCACGUCGGUGCAGAGCCGAAGCCGAGCAGAGAACCAUGAACCCGGCAGCGGCAGGCUCUCUCUCCCUCUCCCUCUCCCUCUCUCUCUCCCUCUUGCAGACUCUCUGGCGCCGGCGCCGUGACGUCAUCCCAUUCACAGCAGCCCUCGAGCCAGGCCUCGCGGCGCCGCUGAGGCGGUUUCCAUGGAGACGGGGUUUCGGAGGUGGUUCUCAGCUGAUCGUCCCGGGACGCGGGUGUUUUUUCUCGGGGUCGCUGCGGGUUUGCGCCUCGGUGGCGGUUUGAGGGUCCAGCGGCCUCAGUUACAUGAGGAGAAGACACGGAGCUUCACUAACACUCAACACGACAUGUGACCAACAGGGAGGAGAAGAGUUGAACCUCGCCACUGAUGGAAUGUAACAUUUACUCACACUCGGAUUCUUGUAGUUUGAUUUCAGAGGGAAUUAAUUAACCAACACCUUGACUCCUCCAGGCUCCAUUUACUUAACAUCUUGAGUUUACAAAUAAAUGUUUUUAACAUCUUAA
This is a long non-coding RNA of Paralichthys olivaceus (Japanese flounder), 1809 nucleotides long. RefSeq lists it as uncharacterized. Lineage: Eukaryota; Metazoa; Chordata; Actinopteri; Pleuronectiformes; Paralichthyidae. The record is from RefSeq and is a predicted model, not a curated record.